This 1952-nucleotide long non-coding RNA is filed under the name Chinchilla lanigera (long-tailed chinchilla). RNAcentral's name for it is "lncRNA (ENSCLAG00000024370.1)". Lineage: Eukaryota; Metazoa; Chordata; Mammalia; Rodentia; Chinchillidae. The record is from RNAcentral.
AGGAGAGUCAGGUCACUCCGCUCAGCAGCCUGAGGUUGCAGCAGGAAUAGCAGCACACAGCUAGCCAGGGGAGGACUGCAGCAUGGAGAAGAGGAAGUCACGCAAACAACUGAUAAAGCAGUGAGCGGGAAACUCAGCUCCAAAGCCGACAAACAUCAACAAGGUGAAACUGCUCCUUGGUUCCUCGUCUUCCAGAUCUCCUUUCCGAUCAAGCUACCCUUCCUUGAUCAUGCUUCUAGUAAUCAGUCCCAGGAUCCACUGGCAAACGUGCACCAAGCCCAGGAGAGGGGACUCAACCCAGGAAGUAAACCUGUGGGGAGCAGGAGAGGGGACAAAGGCACAGUGGCUGAUACAGGACCAGCCCGGCUCUAGCUGUGUGACCUCUGCUGGCCAUGAGGCCACUGAAGUGUGUGUCCCACUGGUAAAGGCAGCAGGAAUGAUUCCCAAGAUGAGGCCUAUCUCGGGGAACUGCAGGAGAUGGCCGGGACAUGCCCAGUGCCCUGUGGGUGAUAGAGGAGAGCACAGAUACCCCCGAGCGAUGAAGAAACUGACUGUUUAAAGGAUUGUAACCGAGACGGAAACCUUGCUCUUGGAGGAGAGGAAGGUAAGAUUAACACUGCCUAAGGCGACAGGAAGGUGAUGGGCCUUUCAGGUCUCCCUUGGAUCCUGCCUGGGAGCCCCCUGCUCUGCCAGGCUCAAGGCUGGCCCGAGGCUGGGCACACCCUCAGAGGGCUGCAGUCAGGACUCUACUCCAGCUGAAGGAUCUGAGUCCAGCACACAGAAGGAAGAAUGGAAGAAUAAACGGGGUUAGACUGGGGCAUGGUAGCAGAAAUAGACCAGAUUCUCAUGGCACUUUCGGGUUCCUGUGCAGAUGGAGAUUUUUCUUUUUCCUUUUAAACACAAGAAAACAAAGACCCUGUAGCCCUGAUGGAGAAGAGACCCUGAUGGAGACUCCUGAGUCCCCACUGCCUGAGAAGAGAUCUAUCUGCUAGCACCUCCCACUGUCGCCUGGAAGGGGAUCAGGGAAGGAAGGAGGACGAGGGGAAGGAGGGGAGAGGAAGAACAGGAAGAAGGGGGAGGAAGCAAAGUGCAUAAAACAAUUUGUUGCAUGGAAGACAAAAUGCAAAUUUCUCCAGUGCUGGCAAAGUCCUCUACAUUAUGAAUUCAACUCAUCAAGCUGUCCGGGUCCUGUUCUAAGUCACCGCGGUGAAAAACUCUCCUGAAAUUGCUUCUCUCUUCACUCACCUGCCCUCUUCCGCCAUCUUUGAGGGUAUCCGACAGGAAAAUCUGGUUUGGAAACAAGGUGGAAAACCUGAUCCUUCCUUUCCUGGGUUCUGCUUGCAAACUUAGAGGUCUCAUGUGUGUAGCUCUCCACCGCAGCCAGGACGCAGGGACAAAGUUCCCAGGUAACUGCGAUAGGGUCAGGACCAGUCUAGGCAGGUCAUUUUCCCCCUCCAUCCAACCCUAAGUGACUUGGCAGUGGAACCCUCCACAUCCCCACGGGGUCGCCUGACCCUGUGGAAGACUUGCUGGUAAAAGAAGCAGUGUAUUUCCUACCUGGAACAGAAUCAGCAAACGGGAGACGGCUCCUUGCACCCGUUCAUGUGGGAGGCAUCACACUGAGCACCUCAUCUCUCCCCCCACUUUUAUCUUGGAGGCGCUGCGCACUCUGGAAUUUGUAGCUAAGGCUUCAUAAAGACACAAGAGCCACAAGCGAUGAGGGCCGCUGACAGACAUCGGACAUUAGAGAAGCGCUGGACAGGCGGUGGCUGUCCAGCUCCAGCCCACAGGCAAGAGGCAGCUGCCCUAUCCAGAGGUGACCGGACAGAGCGGGAGAGGCAAAGGCGGAAGCACUUGGAUCUUUCUGAAGGUGAAAACUUACCUGAGGAUUUCUGCAAAGCCUCUACCCAACCUGGCUAAAUUUUAUUUUGCUGUUCGAUACAGAAAAAAAU